Molecule: long non-coding RNA, 930 nt
Organism: Etheostoma spectabile (orangethroat darter)
Lineage: Eukaryota; Metazoa; Chordata; Actinopteri; Perciformes; Percidae
Exons: 2
Source: RefSeq, a predicted model, not a curated record
UAAAAGAGCUUCUGAUCAGUAGUAGCUGACCACUAAGGUCUAUAUAAAAGAGACUUCAGAUACAGUAUUAGUGGACCACUAAGGUCUAUGUAAAAGAGACUUCAGAUACAGUAUUAGUGGACCAAGGUCUAUAUUAAAGUAUCCAAAGAGCACCAUGCCAUGGGACCUUUAAUAUUGCGAGAUUGGCCAUGGCCCUGGCGGAGGUCUUCGGUCUCGGUAUGUCAGAAUAGAACAGAACAGGCCAUCUCGAGAUGAUCGUAACAGAAUUUCUGGGUUACAAUGACUGCAAGAAAAACACUUUGUCACGUAGAGAUGAUGACAUACUUAAGUCACAAUCUGAAGGGACAAAUCCUUUCAAUUAAAUAAGAUUAAAAGGCUGAGCUGCUGGGGGUGGGUGCUGAGAGUUUCCAUGUCCAUACAUUUAAAGAGCAAGUUUUGGGGCCAACAAGCAGCACAAAGUUUGGGUUAUACUUUUUAACGUCUUUGUGCUAUUUUCGGCCCCUGUGUUGGCUGCAGGCUUCCACUGAGCUAUACAGUACGUGCUGUUGUAUGUACUGUGGUUCUCCGAACCUCUGAGAACUCCAGACAGGCAACACUCAGGCUGGUUUUGAAGAACUGUCCCUUUAAAACCUCUGAUAAACAAGUUUAGAAGUCAAAGAAAAAUACGAGACGAGGUGUGACUUUCACAGUGACGGGGUUAUUUUUAAGAUGCACAAAUAAAGUUUAAAAAAAAAUUAAAGACUAGCAGGUUUAGCAAAUUGUAACGUGUCUGUCAUUCUUGAUGCGCCCAGAAACAAACAAAACCGUAUCUUGUAUUCUCUUAAGGCCUCCUAGGAACAGGCUGUGGUUUUCAUCUACAAACUAGAAGAAGAUGAUGCAUGAUCAACAGCCUACUGAAACUCCUCCCCACAGGGAGGGAAGAUGCCACAU